GGAAUGCUAGAGAGGUUUUAUUCACGUGUCUUUCCAGAGAACCACAGAACAUACUCCGAUAGAUUUCAACAUCCGCAUUGCUAUCAAGGACACAUUUGGAGACAUUGGUUAUAUAAUGAAGGCUUUGACUGGAAUGUCAUAUUUGAGAGAAACAUACAGACUCAGAUAUGACAAUACAGCCUUUGAGGAGUGAAGGUUGACUUUCUGGAAUAAAGCCACUUGAAACAUUAGCCACAGGAAAUAUUGGCCUGGUACCUUGUUUAUAGAGAUUCCAGCAAACUUACCUGACCACUUCUCAUCAGAAGAUUCUCUCAUCUCCAGAGGACCUGUAUACCUUGUCAGCUUUGGACUCCAUGGACCCAACCUUCCAGUCCACUGAACCUCCUUCCUGUGCCCUCAUGGCCCCAUUUAGGGACAGCUCUAUGACCUUGUUCAGCCAGAAGUAGUUACAGAAGGUUGGCCAUCGUCCAUAUCCCCAAAGGAUUUUGGGGCCAAAUGGGUUCAGGGGAGAUUUUAUGAUGAGGAUCAAGCCUGCCCCAGGGUGAGAAGGUCAAGGCAUCCUGCCCUACAGAUGGAUCUAUAUCAUCCUCCGGGAAGCAUAGAACCUCCUGAUCUGAUCUGACCUGACUCCUAUCCAAAGUUAUAGGAUCACCCAAUAACCAGACCCCGCCUGCACUGAUACCAUUUUGAUGGCUUUUUUUUUUUCUGCUUUAUUUCCCAAACUCCCCCGGUACAUAGUUGUAUAUCUUAGUUGCAGGUCCUUCUAGUUGUGGGAUGUGGGACGCCGCCUCAACGUGGCCUGACGUGCGGUGCCAUGUCCGCGCCCAGGAUCCGAUCCCUGGGCCGCUGCAGUGGAGCACGCAAACUUAACCACUCGGCCACGGAGCCGGCUGCCUUUUGAUGGCUUUUUUACAUGAUCUUUCCUUUGUCUUGUAAAGAAAUAACUCACAUACCUGUGCCUUAUAAAUUUAGCCCUACCCUCAACCCAUUGCAGCUCUUUACUGCCCAUGGGUCCUGUCCCCAUGCUACUCCAUGCUAUUCUCUGAAUAAAGGAGCACUACUACCAGAUCUUGAGAAUCCAGGAAAUCUUUCUUUCAACUCCUCAGCUCACAGAGCCUGCAUCAUUUUUCAUUAGAACAGCUUAGCUAUAAUGAGAUGAUUGCACUUCAU
Molecule: long non-coding RNA, 1170 nt
Filed under: Equus asinus (donkey)
Lineage: Eukaryota; Metazoa; Chordata; Mammalia; Perissodactyla; Equidae
Description: lncRNA (ENSEASG00005038131.1)
Source: RNAcentral